CUUCUUCUUCGUUCAACAACCCAAUGAAAUGAUAAUAAUAAGGCAAUGUCUUUAACUCCAAAGAUAAAUGAUGAGUACAGUAGAUCACAUGGCCAUGCAAACCAAAGCAAUGAAUAAGUUUCAAAUUUGUAAUAACUUGAACCCAAACCAAGUAUUCUGGACAUUUGAUUCAAAACACACAAAUAAAUGACAUGUAUUUUACUUUGAAGAACCAAAUAUUUGAAAGAUGUC
This is a non-coding RNA of Biomphalaria pfeifferi, 231 nucleotides long. NCBI's taxonomy places the organism in Eukaryota, Metazoa, Mollusca, Gastropoda, Planorbidae. The record is from the annotation of a GenBank genome assembly.